AUUCAAAAGCCCAAACGGAAACGGAAAACUCGGGAAAUCAAAAGCACACUAACCAAGGAAAUCAUAGACGAUGAUUCGUCGAAUGAGGAUGGUGAAACAAAUGCCAGCACAGUUGCUAGUAACUCCACUAUCUCAACAACGGUUGCUCCGACUGUUGCUGCAUCGAGUGCCGCUCCAGCGAAAGAAGAAAAAGAUGAGAAGAAGGCAAAGCCGAAAAAAGACACCGUCAAGAAAGAGUCAAAGAAGAAAGUGAAACCUGUCGGACCAAUGCACUUCACCACCCACGAAACCAGAGCCAUAGAUGUCCUCGGAGAUCUUGAACCAUCCAUCUUCAAUGAAUGUAAAGAAAAAAUGAGACCUGUUAAAAAAGCUUUGAAAGCUCUGGACAAUCCUGACCAAUCAUUGAAGCCAGAGGAGCAAGUAGUGCACACGCGUCAAUGUUUGAUCCUGAUCGGCGACCAAAUCAACACAUGUGUCUCUGUGUACAAGGACCCAGAUGUCAUCAAGCAGUGGCGGAGCAAUCUCUGGUAUUUCGUUUCCAAGUUCACCGAGUACGACGCUAAGAAACUGUAUAAACUCUACAAACACGCAGUGAAAAAACAGAAAAGCAAAGAGUCGGACGACAAGCCCAGCGACAAGAAGGAAUCAGUCAAGCGCAAGCUCACCGAAGACAAGAAGUCUGCGGAAGCACCGGCAAAGAAGCCGAAAAACUGAGCCCGUCGAAGGCAAAGCAAGCGAGAAGGCUGUGAAGAAGGACAAAGGAAGGAUGCGGCUGGACAGCGGAGGUUCGAUCGGCCCGUCGACCCCGCUUAAGGAAGCUGAGAAGGAGCGCGAGGGUGAGAGGGACCGAGGACGCGACAGAGAACGUGAUUGGGAGCGUCUAGGAGAUAGAGAAAGGGACCGAGAACGCGACAGAGACCGACUCGCGGCGAUGCCGUACAAGUCGGGGAUCAGCAGUCCGCUGGAGAGUGCGGUUGAUCGCGACCGGUGGCCGCCCGGUGGAUCUAGGUACAAUACAGGUAAUAGUAAUCCCGAGCAUAAGCGAGAUAGGUACGACAAUUAUCCUCGCGCUGCUUACCAUGAUAGGAAUAGAGAUAGAAAUCAUCGAAUGCCUCCAGAUAAACACAGAUAUCAUCAGGGACCUCAAGGGGCUCACAUGGGACAGUAUGGGAACCACUAUGGUGCUCCUGUCCCUCAUGGAUAUUACCCGCCAACUGACCAACAUGGACCUUACCCGCGCGAAAGGUACCAUGGGCCAGCCCCGUACGGUGACUGGCGCACACCGCCCAAAGACAGGUCCGACUUUAGGAGAGACUACGAACGAAGGCCUGCCUCUAAUACGUAACACCUCUCUUUGUAAAUUGCUUUAAUUUUUGUAUAUUUUUCAAACUGAAUCAUUGUAAGAGCAACACUGGUUUAUUUUUAGACAAGUUCUUGAUCCGUCAAAUAUUUAUUUUUGUAUGAUUGUCUUCAUUAUGCCUGCGUAAUGACUCCAGUUUUUAUUUUUUGUAAAAUUGCGCCGCUGGAAGUGCUGCAAAAAAAUGAAAGAUAGAAAAA
RNAcentral lists this long non-coding RNA (1557 nucleotides) under Bemisia tabaci. Its description in RNAcentral is "lncRNA ENSSSA2NGG007256". Lineage: Eukaryota; Metazoa; Arthropoda; Insecta; Hemiptera; Aleyrodidae. The record is from RNAcentral.